CAGAACAAUCUGGAAGCUUCCAGAAUGAUGAGAGGAGAUAAACAUACCCUGGAGUUUUAGCUAAAUAACCUAAGAGGCUUAAUCCCAGAGUUCCAGAAUGUCAUAGGCGGAGGAGAGGGGUCCUGGAACAGCAGAACAGGAACUCAGAGGACACAGCUCCUUGCCUGUCCGUGAAUAGUCUCCCAGGCCCGGAAUUCCAGGAACCCACGUGCCGCUAGAGACAUGACCCGCCUUUCAAGGUUGACCGCAGGGGAAGAGCACGUCCCUUGCAGGGUGGCUGGAACCAGCUCCAAGAGUAAAAAAUUCAUCCUGGCACCAAGUCUGGCACAACCGUGGACCCAACAGGGAUGGUGGAGAUUUGCCACCUCACCCACCCGCCUCAAAUCACCCACACCCACGUCUUCCUCCGUUCACUGGACAACUAUGCAUUGAGCACCUACUAUGUGUCAAGCCUCUUCCAGGCACCAGAACUUUUUGAAUAUAUCACAUAAAACAGACGAAGAAGCUGCUGUCAAGAAAUUACUAUUUUAAGAGGGGAAUGGUUCAGAGACCUCUGUAGAGGGGAAUGGUUCAGAGACCUCUGUACUAUUUCAUAUAGUUAUAAAGGCAGAAAGUAUACAGCUUUGAUGUUG
Long non-coding RNA from Canis lupus familiaris (dog), 632 nucleotides. RefSeq lists it as uncharacterized. The transcript has 2 exons. The record is from RefSeq and is a predicted model, not a curated record. NCBI's taxonomy places the organism in Eukaryota, Metazoa, Chordata, Mammalia, Carnivora, Canidae.